AAAACACAGCUCUCUGCAAGUCGUAAGAGACGUAUAGGGAGUGACACCUGCCCGGUGCCGGAAGGUUAAGGAAGGAGGUUAGCCGUAAGGCGAAGCUUUCGGACCGAAGCCCCGGGUAAACGGCGGCCGUAACUAUAACGGUCCUAAGGUAGCGAAAUUCCUUGUCGGGUAAGUUCCGACCUGCACGAAUGGUGUAACGAUCUGGGCGCUGUCUCAGCCGUGAGCUCGGUGAAAUUGUAGUCUCGGUGAAGAUGCCGAGUACCCGCCACGGGACGGAAAGACCCCGUGCACCUUUACUAUAGGUUGCCAUUGGUGUUGGGUUCGGCAUGUGUAGCAUAGGCGGGAGGCGCUGAGCCGGGGACGCUAGUUCUCGGGGAGCCACCGUUGAAAUACCGCCCUUGCCGU
RNAcentral lists this ribosomal RNA (405 nucleotides) under Nostoc sp. HG1. RNAcentral describes it as "partial 23S ribosomal RNA". It matches the Rfam family "Bacterial large subunit ribosomal RNA", at positions 1810 to 2212 of the family's 2925-position model. Lineage: Bacteria; Bacillati; Cyanobacteriota; Cyanophyceae; Nostocales; Nostocaceae. The record is from RNAcentral.